Molecule: ribosomal RNA, 344 nt
Filed under: uncultured bacterium
Lineage: Bacteria
Description: partial 16S ribosomal RNA
Rfam family: Bacterial small subunit ribosomal RNA
Source: RNAcentral
GGGCCCGCACAAGCGGUGGAGCAUGUGGUUUAAUUCGAUGCAACGCGAAGAACCUUACCAGGGUUUGACAUAGUACGAAGUUUUUUGAAAAAAAAGCCACCUUCGGGAACGUACAUACAGGUGGUGCAUGGCUGUCGUCAGCUCGUGUCGUGAGAUGUUGGGUUAAGUCCCGCAACGAGCGUAACCCUUGUUUUUAGUUGCCUUUCGAGGAUAUUUAGAAAGACUGCCGAUUAUAAAUCGGAGGAAGGUAAGGACGACGUCAAGUCAUCAUGCCCCUUACACUCUGGGCUACACACGUGCUACAAUGGUUGGUACAGAGGGCAGCUACCGGGUGACCGGAUGCG